RNAcentral lists this ribosomal RNA (419 nucleotides) under uncultured eukaryote. RNAcentral describes it as "SSU rRNA". It matches the Rfam family "Eukaryotic small subunit ribosomal RNA", at positions 592 to 1018 of the family's 1831-position model. The record is from RNAcentral.
CAAUAGCGUAUAUUCAAGUUGUUGACAGUUAAAAGCUCGUAGUUGAAUUUUGGCGCUAGUUGUGUGGUUUGAACUCACGUUUAACACUGCAUGACUGGGGCUUUCCUUCUAGGGGAACUAGUGUGCCAUUAGCUUGGUGGGCUAGGGAUCUAGGACUGUUACUUUGAAAAAUUAGAGUGUUUAAAACAGGCUUACGCUUGAAUACAUUAGCAUGGAAUAACGGAAUAGGACUUUGUCUUAUUUUGUUGGUUUAGGAGACAAAGUAAUGAUUAAUAGGGACGGUUGGGGGCAUUAGUAUUCCACAGUCAGAGGUGAAAUUCUUGGAUUUGUGGAAGACUAACUUCUGCGAAAGCAUUUGUAAAGAACGCAUUCUUUAAUCAGGAACGAAAGUUAGGGGAUCGAAGAUGAUCAGAUACCGU